GCUUCGCGUGCUAUACAUGCAGUCGAGCGAACAGAUGAGAAGCUUGCUUCUCUGAUGUUAGCGGCGGACGGGUGAGUAACACGUGGGUAACCUACCUAUAAGACUGGGAUAACUCCGGGAAACCGGGGCUAAUACCGGAUAAUAUUUUGAACCGCAUGGUUCAAUAUUGAAAGACGGUUUCGACUGUCACUUAUAGAUGGACCCGCGCCGUAUUAGCUAGUUGGUAAGGUAAUGGCUUACCAAGGCAACGAUACGUAGCCGACCUGAGAGGGUGAUCGGCCACACUGGAACUGAGACACGGUCCAGACUCCUACGGGAGGCAGCAGUAGGGAAUCUUCCGCAAUGGGCGAAAGCCUGACGGAGCAACGCCGCGUGAGUGAUGAAGGUCUUAGGAUCGUAAAACUCUGUUGUUAGGGAAGAACAAAUUUGUUAGUAACUGAACAAGUCUUGACGGUACCUAACCAGAAAGCCACGGCUAACUACGUGCCAGCAGCCGCGGUAAUACGUAGGUGGCAAGCGUUAUCCGGAAUUAUUGGGCGUAAAGCGCGCGUAGGCGGUUUCUUAAGUCUGAUGUGAAAGCCCACGGCUCAACCCCGUGGAGGGUCAUUGGAAACUGGGGAACUUGAGUGCAGAAGAGGAGAGUGGAAUUCCAUGUGUAGCGGUGAAAUGCGCAGAGAUAUGGAGGAACACCAGUGGCGAAGGCGGCUCUCUGGUCUGUAACUGACGCUGAUGUGCGAAAGCGUGGGGAUCAAACAGGAUUAGAUACCCUGGUAGUCCACGCCGUAAACGAUGAGUGCUAAGUGUUAGGGGGUUUCCGCCCCUUAGUGCUGCAGCUAACGCAUUAAGCACUCCGCCUGGGGAGUACGACCGCAAGGUUGAAACUCAAAGGAAUUGACGGGGACCCGCACAAGCGGUGGAGCAUGUGGUUUAAUUCGAAGCAACGCGAAGAACCUUACCAAAUCUUGACAUCCUUUGAUCGCUCUAGAGAUAGAGUUUUCCCCUUCGGGGGACAAAGUGACAGGUGGUGCAUGGUUGUCGUCAGCUCGUGUCGUGAGAUGUUGGGUUAAGUCCCGCAACGAGCGCAACCCUUAAGCUUAGUUGCCAUCAUUAAGUUGGGCACUCUAGGUUGACUGCCGGUGACAAACCGGAGGAAGGUGGGGAUGACGUCAAAUCAUCAUGCCCCUUAUGAUUUGGGCUACACACGUGCUACAAUGGAUAAUACAAAGGGCAGCGAACCCGCGAGGUCAAGCAAAUCCCAUAAAAUUAUUCUCAGUUCGGAUUGUAGUCUGCAACUCGACUACAUGAAGCUGGAAUCGCUAGUAAUCGUAGAUCAGCAUGCUACGGUGAAUACGUUCCCGGGUCUUGUACACACCGCCCGUCACACCACGAGAGUUUGUAACACCCGAAGCCGGUGGAGUAACCUUUUAUUAGAGCUAGCCGUCGAAGUGACAGG
Molecule: ribosomal RNA, 1453 nt
Filed under: Mammaliicoccus lentus
Lineage: Bacteria; Bacillati; Bacillota; Bacilli; Caryophanales; Staphylococcaceae
Description: bacterial SSU rRNA
Rfam family: Bacterial small subunit ribosomal RNA
Source: RNAcentral